AAUGGUUUCAAUUGGCCUCCAAGCAGGGGAUCUCUAAGGCCCAGGACAAAAUGUGCCCUGGGACAAGAAGGGAGGCCACAGCUUGUUGUGUGGUUUGAGAGCCCCAGGCCCCUCUGUUCCUGUAAAUGGGUUGCCAUUCCAGCAAGGGCACCGAGGUGGUACAGGAGUGCCAGAAACCUGGAGAUCACCCUGAUGGAGGAGAGCCGAAGGUGGAGCCAGGCACCGAGGCAGCAGCGGAUGACAAGGACGCCUCACUGAAGGAAGAAGACCCUGAGCUGAAGAGCUGACUCUCUUUCUUGAGUGGACCCUCAACGUAUCCCUGGAACUGCCUUUGGCCUGUGAGGCCCCACCCUGAAGAGCUAUCCUUGGAGGGCAGAAAGAGCCCUGUUUAGGAUGUGACCUUCACAGGGCUUGCUCUCUGGCCUUGGGGAGAUGAAGGGUUAAACUUGAAGCAGUCCUAUUUCUCUAGUGCUCCGUAAAGAGGACAAAGGACUGCUUCAUUCCUCUUGGGGCCUUUCCCACAGCUUCUGGGAAGAGAAAAACACACAGAUUGAUUCCUCUGGUCCAGACUAUCUGCUUCUGGGUUGUGCACGUCCAGCCAUGCCGUCUGCUUCCCUUCCCGGGAACUCUGGAGGCUCCGUAGCCGUAACAUCGAUUGGAACUACGGAUCUGGGUUUGGUCUUAAUCUUUCUCUCCUUUUCCAACAGCCGAAUGAGCAGCCAGCAUGCCCGACAGGAAGCUUUUGCAUUUGGCUCUCUUCACCUUGUUUGCAUGAAUAAUUUAGUAUUUAACUUACAGUAUCAUUAAUGAAUUAUGGGAAUGAUCGGGAUUGGACAGGGAUUCCAUGAAUGGAUGGCAACCAGGCCUUGGGCUCACAGCAAGCAGAAGCUGAGCACUGGAGGGAGGGAAGGGGAAAUUCAAGUUUCCGGUUAUUAAAUCCUCAGAAAUGUCGUA
Molecule: long non-coding RNA, 954 nt
Organism: Mastomys coucha (southern multimammate mouse)
Lineage: Eukaryota; Metazoa; Chordata; Mammalia; Rodentia; Muridae
Exons: 2
Source: RefSeq, a predicted model, not a curated record